This is a non-coding RNA of Paramuricea clavata, 100 nucleotides long. NCBI's taxonomy places the organism in Eukaryota, Metazoa, Cnidaria, Anthozoa, Malacalcyonacea, Plexauridae. The record is from the annotation of a GenBank genome assembly.
UGGUGUUAUGUACUCAGGUGAAUAUGAUGCUUGUGAUGUUACUCUGAUAAUGGACACUCAGAGAGUAACAUCACAAACAUCAUAUUCACCUGAGUACAUA